GACGAACGCUGGCGGCGUGCUUAACACAUGCAAGUCGAACGGAAAGGCCCUUCGGGGUACUCGAGUGGCGAACGGGUGAGUAACACGUGGGUGAUCUGCCCUGCACUUUGGGAUAAGCCUGGGAAACUGGGUCUAAUACCGAAUAGGACCACGCGCUUCAUGGUGUGUGGUGGAAAGCUUUUGCGGUGUGGGAUGGGCCCGCGGCCUAUCAGCUUGUUGGUGGGGUAAUGGCCUACCAAGGCGACGACGGGUAGCCGGCCUGAGAGGGUGACCGGCCACACUGGGACUGAGAUACGGCCCAGACUCCUACGGGAGGCAGCAGUGGGGAAUAUUGCACAAUGGGCGCAAGCCUGAUGCAGCGACGCCGCGUGAGGGAUGACGGCCUUCGGGUUGUAAACCUCUUUCGAUAGGGACGAAGCGCAAGUGACGGUACCUAUAGAAGAAGCACCGGCCAACUACGUG
RNAcentral lists this ribosomal RNA (462 nucleotides) under uncultured bacterium. RNAcentral's name for it is "partial 16S ribosomal RNA". It matches the Rfam family "Bacterial small subunit ribosomal RNA", at positions 28 to 507 of the family's 1533-position model. The record is from RNAcentral.